UUGAUGUAGACCUAGUAAGUGAAAAAAUAGACGCAGUGUUUUAUUUACCUUAGGAUGCAGAUAUUUUGGAUUUUUUGGAUCCAUCGUCUUUGGCUCCUGCAAGUGAACAAGACACUAAAAUGAUACAAAGGCUACAAUCAACUGAUAUGGAUUGCCAACCUCCACCUGAGACCACUGCCUGUACCUCUGCGUCCAAACCAGAACCAAAGAGAUUCAGAUGUAUGUCAUCUGAUAUUGCGUUAAAGCAGUUUCAGGAAGCCAGACAUUCUAAAUCUACUAAAAGAAACACAAGAUUUUGAAUUCAACAGUUUCAAGGUAAAACAAUCUGUAUCUUAAACAGAAAUGUGACAGGAUCUUUCUGUUGUACUAAUUAUGACAGAGACAAGAAUGGGGAUUGUAACGUAUGUGCCCCUGGAUACUUUGGGAAACUUUGUGAUACAGUUUGUCCACGUGGAAAAUUUGGUGAAGGCUGUGCUGGGGAGUGCACGUGCUCUCCAAAGGAUUGUGACCACGUGACUGGAUGUCCUCUUAUAAACCAGCUUACAACCACACAGGCA
This is a long non-coding RNA of Saccostrea cuccullata (small rock oyster), 557 nucleotides long. RefSeq lists it as uncharacterized. Lineage: Eukaryota; Metazoa; Mollusca; Bivalvia; Ostreida; Ostreidae. The transcript has 4 exons. The record is from RefSeq and is a predicted model, not a curated record.